CAGUAGCGCGGUAAUACGAAGGGUGCAAGCGUUAAUCGGAAUUACUGGGCGUAAAGCGUGCGUAGGCGGUGAGUUAAGUCUGCUGUGAAAUCCCCGGGCUCAACCUGGGAAUGGCAGUGGAUACUGGCUCGCUAGAGUGUGUCAGAGGAUGGUGGAAUUCCCGGUGUAGCGGUGAAAUGCGUAGAGAUCGGGAGGAACAUCAGUGGCGAAGGCGGCCAUCUGGGACAACACUGACGCUGAGGCACGAAAGCGUGGGGAGCAAACAGGAUUAGAUACCCCCGUAGUCCCUGUCUCUUAUACA
RNAcentral lists this ribosomal RNA (301 nucleotides) under uncultured bacterium. RNAcentral describes it as "partial 16S ribosomal RNA". It matches the Rfam family "Bacterial small subunit ribosomal RNA", at positions 509 to 808 of the family's 1533-position model. The record is from RNAcentral.